This 466-nucleotide ribosomal RNA is filed under the name uncultured bacterium. RNAcentral describes it as "partial 16S ribosomal RNA". It matches the Rfam family "Bacterial small subunit ribosomal RNA", at positions 28 to 507 of the family's 1533-position model. The record is from RNAcentral.
GACGAACGCUGGCGGCGUGCUUAACACAUGCAAGUCGAACGGUAAGGCUCCAGCUUGCUGGGGUACACGAGUGGCGAACGGGUGAGUAACACGUGGGUGACCUGCCCUGCACUUCGGGAUAAUCCUGGGAAACUGGGUCUAAUACCGGAUAGGACCAUGGUGUGGAUACUGUGGUGGAAAGUUUUUUCGGUGUGGGAUGGGCCCGCGGCCUAUCAGCUUGUUGGUGGGGUAAUGGCCUACCAAGGCGGCGACGGGUAGCCGGCCUGAGAGGGUGGACGGCCACAUUGGGACUGAGACACGGCCAAGACUCCUACGGGAGGCAGCAGUGGGGAAUAUUGCACAAUGGGCGGAAGCCUGAUGCAGCGACGCCGCGUGGGGGAUGACGGCCUUCGGGUUGUAAACUCCUUUCACCAUCGACGAAGGGUUUCUGACGGUAGAUGGAGAAGAAGCACCGGCUAACUACGUG